GCGAGUAUGGCCCUCACGGGUCUAAUCCACCAUAAACACCUUUGUGAACCAGUCAGGGGGACUCUGCCGUGAAAGCCCAGGCGAUUAGCGGAAGGGCCCUCCUUUGCAAACCCGUUUAGAAGUCUUGAAAGUACUUUUGUAUAAUCUAGUA
RNAcentral lists this unclassified non-coding RNA (151 nucleotides) under soil metagenome. RNAcentral describes it as "partial internal transcribed spacer 1". The record is from RNAcentral.